RNAcentral lists this ribosomal RNA (607 nucleotides) under Gambroides rangaparensis. RNAcentral describes it as "SSU rRNA". It matches the Rfam family "Eukaryotic small subunit ribosomal RNA", at positions 692 to 1295 of the family's 1831-position model. Lineage: Eukaryota; Metazoa; Arthropoda; Insecta; Hymenoptera; Ichneumonidae. The record is from RNAcentral.
UCUUUKCGGGGCGGUCCAACUAAUAUCCCAUCGCGGUGCUCUUCAUUGAGUGUCGAGGUGGGCCGGUACGUUUACUUUGAACAAAUUAGAGUGCUUAAAGCAGGCUAUCUUCGCCUGAAUACUGUGUGCAUGGAAUAAUGGAAUAGGACCUCGGUUCUAUUUUGUUGGUUUUCGGAACCCCGAGGUAAUGAUUAAUAGGGACAGAUGGGGGCAUUCGUAUUGCGACGUUAGAGGUGAAAUUCUUGGAUCGUCGCAAGACGGACAGAAGCGAAAGCAUUUGCCAAAAAUGUUUUCAUUAAUCAAGAACGAAAGUUAGAGGUUYGAAGGCGAUCAGAUACCGCCCUAGUUCUAACCAUAAACGAUGCCAGCUAGCGAUCCGCCGAAGUUCCUCCGAUGACUCGGCGGGCAGCUUCCGGGAAACCAAAGCUUUUGGGUUCCGGGGGAAGUAUGGUUGCAAAGCUGAAACUUAAAGGAAUUGACGGAAGGGCACCACCAGGAGUGGAGCCUGCGGCUUAAUUUGACUCAACACGGGAAACCUCACCAGGCCCGGACACCGGAAGGAUUGACAGAUUGAUAGCUCUUUCUUGAUUCGGUGGGUGGUGGUGCA